RNAcentral lists this ribosomal RNA (253 nucleotides) under uncultured bacterium. Its description in RNAcentral is "partial 16S ribosomal RNA". It matches the Rfam family "Bacterial small subunit ribosomal RNA", at positions 524 to 776 of the family's 1533-position model. The record is from RNAcentral.
UACGUAGGUGGCAAGCGUUGUCCGGAUUUACUGGGCGUAAAGAGCGCGCAGGCGGUCGUGCAAGUCGCGUGUGAAAGCCCCCGGCUCAACUGGGGAGGGUCACGCGAUACUGCUCGACUCGAAGGCAGGAGAGGGAAGUGGAAUUCCCGGUGUAGUGGUGAAAUGCGUAGAUAUCGGGAGGAACGCCAGUGGCGAAGGCGACUUCCUGGCCUGUUCUUGACGCUGAGGCGCGAAAGCUAGGGUAGCAAACGGG